RNAcentral lists this transfer RNA (73 nucleotides) under Styracaster yapensis. Its description in RNAcentral is "tRNA-Leu". The record is from RNAcentral. Lineage: Eukaryota; Metazoa; Echinodermata; Asteroidea; Paxillosida; Porcellanasteridae.
AACUAAAAAAGGGAAUUGAACCCUUGAUAAAAAAAACUUAAAUUUCUCGCAUUACCCCCUUUGCUAUUCUAGC